GGCGGGCGUGCCUAUACAUGCAGUCGAACGCGAGAAGGAGGAGCUUGCUCCUCCGGAUCGAGUGGCGGACGGGUGAGUAACACGUAGGCAACCUGCCCAUCAGCCGGGGAUAACUGCGGGAAACCGUGGCUAAUACCGGAUAAUCCCGACUGUCGAUGGACGGUUGGUUGAAAGGCGGCCUUUGGCUGCCGCUGAUGGAUGGGCCUGCGGCGCAUUAGCUAGUUGGUGGGGUAAGGGCCCACCAAGGCGACGAUGCGUAGCCGACCUGAGAGGGUGAUCGGCCACACUGGGACUGAGACACGGCCCAGACUCCUACGGGAGGCAGCAGUAGGGAAUCUUCCGCAAUGGACGCAAGUCUGACGGAGCAACGCCGCGUGAGUGAAGAAGGGUUUCGGCUCGUAAAACUCUGUUGUUAAGGAAGAAUGACAGGCAGAGUAACUGCUGCCUGUGUGACGGUACUUAACCAGAAAGCCACGGCUAACUACGUGCCAGCAGCCGCGGUAAUACGUAGGUGGCAAGCGUUAUCCGGAAUUAUUGGGCGUAAAGCGCGCGUAGGCGGUUUUUUAAGUCUGAUGUGAAAGCCCCCGGCUCAACCGGGGAGGGUCAUUGGAAACUGGGGAACUUGAGUGCAGAAGAGGAGAGUGGAAUUCCAUGUGUAGCGGUGAAAUGCGCAGAGAUAUGGAGGAACACCAGUGGCGAAGGCGGCUCUCUGGUCUGUAACUGACGCUGAUGUGCGAAAGCGUGGGGAUCAAACAGGAUUAGAUACCCUGGUAGUCCACGCCGUAAACGAUGAGUGCUAA
RNAcentral lists this ribosomal RNA (800 nucleotides) under Salinicoccus sp. JSM 102063. Its description in RNAcentral is "bacterial SSU rRNA". It matches the Rfam family "Bacterial small subunit ribosomal RNA", at positions 38 to 819 of the family's 1533-position model. Lineage: Bacteria; Bacillati; Bacillota; Bacilli; Caryophanales; Staphylococcaceae. The record is from RNAcentral.